UGUCUUGUUUGUUGACUAAACUUGGUGAAAGUGCUAGUGAUCGACUAGAGGGGGGUAAAUAGGCGAUUUUUAUGGAAGUCUUCAAAACAUGGAAGUUUCGAAGACAAACGAUAGAAAUAAACCUAUUACCAUGCAGCGGAAGGUAGACUACACUAGGCAAACCAUAGUCAAGUAUUCAAUGAAGUGAAAGCGCAAUGACUAAUAGCAGCUAGGCAGUAAGGAUCAGGUAGGAAGAUAUUGUGAAGCCAAUCAGAACAAGUAAUCACUCAGUGAAGCCAAAUGGUGAUGCAAUCGUACAAUGGCUUCACAAGGACCAACAGUAAGUAAAGGGAAGGGAAGGAUGAAACCAGUGACUCGUUGAAGACAAUGAUUUGUUGGACCAGUUCUAGUUGUUGUGACAACUGCACGUCUAGUUAGGGAGGCUGAGAUUCAACUCAGAAGACCUCGUCUUCACCUUAUUCCCCUUGAGCUAAGGACACCCAGUCCUCGCCCAAUCACUCUGGUAAGUCUUCAAGGUAGACUUCCAAACCUUCACAGACUUCGUUCAUCGACGAUCCACAAUGAUUCUUGGAUGCUCAGAACGUGACGCCUAACCGGCUGGAGGAUAAACAAUCCUCAAGUGUAAUAAGUCUUCAGAUCACACAGACAUGAAGACUUAAGUGAUGCCUAACACUCUUUGGCUCUGGGUGGUUAGGGCUUUAUCCUCGCAAGGAACUCUCUCAAAGGCUUCGAGGUGGGUUGCUCUCAAACGACAAAAGCCGUAUUCUAACUCUGAGAAGCCAACCGUUUAUGGUUGUAGGGGGUGGGCUAUUUAUAGCAACCAGGCAACCCGGCCUGAUUUGUCCGAAAUGACCCUCGGUCACUAAGGAACUGACACGUGUUCCAACGGUCAGAUUUCAAACACACACGGCAACUUUACUUGGGCUACAAGCAAAGUUGACUUAUCCAACUCUGGACAAGAUUUUCUCUCAUAGUAUUCACUCGAAGACAUAGGAUUUUGGUUAAGCAUCACUUCAGUCAUUCUGACUGGUUCUCUUGGACCCCACUUAACAGUACGGUGGUUCCUAUGACUCAACAAAGAAGAAAAAGAACGACGAAAGAACUAAGUCUUCGCGCUCCAUAGUCUUCAUGCGAUGUCUUCUCUUGUCAUAGUGUUCAAUGUGAAUGUCUUCACAUACCACCUUUGUCUUCAAUGUCUUCUUACAUUUUUAGGGGUCAUCUCUGGUAGGAAAACCGAAUCAAUGAGGGACUUCUACCUGUGUUAUCCUGCAAUUCUCACAAACACAUUAGUCCCUCAACUAGGUUUGUCGUCACUACUCCAAAACCAACUAGGGGUGGCACUAGAUGCACUUACAAUCUCCCCCUUUUUGGUGAUUGAUGACAAACUAGUUGAAGUUUUCAACGAGGAAUAUAAUAUGUGAAAUUGUAAAGGAUAGGAAAUUGUCUUCAUAAGUUGCAAGGGCUCCCCCCUGAAGAUGUGCAUAUAAGUAAUUUGCUUUUGGAAUGCAAAUGCACAUGGCAGGUUGUACUUGUGGAGAUCCUCUUCAAUUUUGAUGACAAUUCAUCAUGCAUGAAAAGUAUGUGAAGAUAAUGACAUGCAUAAUGAAAAAUGGACGUCUGCAAAAUGAUCUAAGUGCGGAAUUUAUCGUCGCACAUGCGGAAUUUAUCAUCGCAUCACAGAAUAGCAAAUAAGUAGCAGACGACCAUCGAGCUUAAGUGUUACAACUCAAAGAAACAAAUGUAUCAAAACGAGAGUUGUAAACACUAGGCAAAAUAUAAAGCAACCGCCCAUAUGGACCUGCUUGAAGACUAUCAAACUCAUAUGCUUCUCCCCCUUUUGUUAGUAAGGACCAAAAAGGUUUGAAGACAUAGAGCAUCUACUCGUUCCCAUGAGGAGUAGGUGAAGCAGCAAGGUCGUCGGUGUUGUUAGGCGGUUUAGACGAACUCGGGGCAGUGUCGAUGCGUGCAGAAGUAGGGGGCGGUGAAGUAGCAUCAUCUUCAUCAUAGAUCACUCUGGCAUUCACAGUUGUCACGGAGGAAGAGAACUCAGAGUCUUCAAGAGACGGAGUUCGUCGCAGCACAGUCCUUCUUGGAGGUGUUGAGUCAAACUUGAAGCAUUCAGAGAAGCCAUCCUCUUGAAGAUCAUUCUCAGAGCACAUAAGCGUCAGCCCUUUCCAUGUACGCCGACAGGUUUCAUGGGCAACAAAGGUAUUCUUGGUGGCAAGAUUGCGAAUCCUGUUUACGUCCACCAAGAGGCUUUGCAUUUGGCGCUUCAGCCAGUCAUGAUGCCUAUCCUGUUUCUGAUGAAGGGCAACCAGAAGCUCUCGGUCAUUGAGAACACGAGAUCGCUUCUUGGGCCGUUGGGCAAUGGUGCUGUCAGUGGCUUCAGUGAGGGCACGGUGAGGUGCACGUGUAGUGCCAGCCAGAGGAUAAACACGAGAGAUUGCUUGAACUCCUUCAAUGUUUUGAGAGAAGUUUUGGUUCUCAGCAUUCUGAAGACUAAGAGGCUCCUUGGCAGGCUCUGGAUAGAUGGCUUCAACUGACAUAUCAACGUCAGGCAGAAAGAUCCGAUGAUUGCGAGCAGAGGGCUGAUAGGUGACAACUAAGUGUAGUUUGACCAGCCGCAUUAUCCAUGGAGCGUAAAACUUCAAGCCAAAGAGAUCAGAUCCUGAUGCAGCAAGUUGGCGGAUGAAGAAGUCUUGUGCAUUGAAGCAUUUGCCGUGAAGAAUAUGGAAGACCAAAGUCUUCAUUGCACCUUCUAGCUUUGUAUGUGGAGAAUGUCCUUUGAUGGGCCAGAGAGUUUGCCUUAUAAUGUGAUAGAUAGUGCGUGGCAGAUACUCAAGGUCUUCAACAAAGAACUCCUUAGGAUAUGCAGCAUCUGGAGGCAAAGGCUUCAUCAUGCUAAGCAUCUGACUCAUGUUUGGUUCAGGCUUUUGAAAAAUGCUCUCCAUAGCUGCACUGUGAAGCUGACAACCAGGUUCAUAAAGAUCUCCUGGAGUGGGUAGACCAUUGAGCUCAAUGAUAUCAAAGGCUUUGGCUUCAUGAUGAACAUUCCCGGUCAUCCACUCAAGGACCCACGUCUUCGAAUCUCUGUUGUAGCCAUGAAUAUGAAGAGUGGCAUAGAAUUGGAGCAGCAAUUCUUCGUUCCAGUGCUCUUUGUCGGUGACGAACGACAACAAUCCAGACUCUUUGAAGCAAUCCAGAGCUUCUUCCAAGCAAGGCAGAACAGUUAUGGCUUCAGUGUCAAGACGCAUAUGUGGGAAAAUGCAACCUUGAUUAUACAGAAUGCAUAAGUAAUAACUGCGCUGCUGAUAGCUCCAGAACCGAUUAGAAGAUAUUCUUGCCCUUGAGUAGGGGUUCUUGGCGCUAUUGAAGAAGGUGUUGUGUGCUUUGAAGCCAUUGAUAUUAAAAGAUCCGGGUGCCGAUGCAGGACCUGGAAACCUGGGCAACCUUGGCAUUGGCUUUUGUACUUGAGGCCUGUGCUCAACGUGAUAGUCAAACUGAGGACCAGCAGCAGGCGGAGGAGUCAGAAAAGGCCAUUUGACAGUGAGAAGUUGGCCAUAGUUGAAUGCUUGCUCGAUAGUGUGUGGCCUAGGUGGCGGAACAGGAGCAGUGGCAUCAACAGAGGCGUCAGGCUGCACAUCUGUAGCAUGUGCAUCAUUGGCUUCACUGGCCUCUGGCACAUUGGUUGGUGCAGGCUCCACAUUUACUUCAGCCAUGACUACGUCAUUGGCUUCAUUUGUGUUGGUGGUGGCAGCCUCAAGAUUCUCAACCUCCACUUGAUGAGCUGGAUGGUCGGGCACAGACACGUUCACUUCAGGAACAGCUUCUUCAGAGUUUGGGGGUGUAGGGACACGAUCUUCUUCUUGUUUGUCAUCGGCUGAUGCACCCGGAUUGUCUUCAGCACCUUUGGCUUCAGACUCAGAGACAGUCACAGUAGGAGUGGCAUCUGGAAACACUUGACGUGCAAUAGAUUGGUGGUGCACUUCUCCUUCUGGAACGCUCGAAAGAUGGACUUGAGACCUUGGUCCUUUGCGAAUCCUGUGUAGCACUGGCGACGCCUGUGGAGAUGGAGUUGGCUGGACCUCAAAGUCAUCCUCUUCUUGAACUGAUGGGGUUGCUUGGGGAGAGCUUGGAGUGUCUUGUCUCUGUGGGUGAUCAGCCCACGAUGCAUCCUGGGCAGUUGGCGUUAGAGGACGACCAAUGCUGAUGAGUUCGAUGUGCGUAAGCACAGGCAAUGAUACCAGUUGGUGCUCGAUCUAAGGAAGGACUUCAUCAUCUUCAACAUUGUCAUGGUGACCAAUGUCUUCAGCAGCGGUGGGGUCAACUGCUGGAAUGUCUUCAACAUCAGGAGCCUCUGUGGAAGCAGGCUCAUGAACAAUCAGUUGGCGCUCGUGGUGUUCAGAUGCAGGGCGAACCAUUGAGAUAGGUUCAACAACUAAGGGCUCUGUGGGAGCAGCCCGAUCCUUCUUGGUUUUGCGCUUCUUCUUAGAGGGAGCGACAUCAGAAGCUUCAGGAUUUUCCCUUUUUCUGGCUUCAGCCUCGGCAAUCCUCGUCUUCUUCAGUUCUGAAGCGGUUGACCUGACCUUUGGCUUCGAGCUAGUCAUGCUGCUUGGAAGACUAUGCGAGGUUCUUCCUGCCUUGAAUUUGCAGAUUGGUCAGUUGAGGGCUUCUUCUUCUUUGCAUCCAUUCUUGGGUCGAUGCCAGGACGACCAAGAGCCUUGCGCUUCUCAGCCUCAUUGAAGGCUUGCACACACUUGUCAGCCAGGCUCUUCAUGCGCUCACGAGAACCUUUAGCUUCUUCACGCUUCUUGAGAAAGGCUUCCUUGAGCUCAUGCAGCAUAAUCUUGAAGUUUUUCACAUCCUGCACGCUGAGCUUGGCCAUGUGCUUAUUGAACUGAGCUUUCUCAAAGUCGAUCUUUUGCUUCAGUUCAACGAUGCGCUGAGCUAGAGCUAGCUUUGAAGCAAUGGCGCCAGUGAAGGCGACACUGAGGCCAAUUGGAAGUUGCAGAUCUUCAAAGCUGAGGUUGGGCGUGUCAAACCACUUAUCAAUGAAGUUAUGGAUGAUUGCCACAUCAAAGAGAGGCAAAUCAUUGAAGAUCUCUGCUUCUUCCUUGCUCUUGAUCAGUUGCUCAAGAGCGUCAUCUGCAAGCUCUUCAUCGCUGGACAGAUCAAUGGCGUCAUUGCGCAGAAUAGCAGUAGCAGUCAGUGCUUGAUCAGUAUUCUUUCUCAUCUCAGUCUUCUUGGAGAUACGUGAGAGAUCUUCAGACUGCACACUGUCUUCAGGAGGUGCAAUAGCCAGUGGCUUCGCCCGUAAGAUUUUUGGUGCUGAGGCAGACUUUGAAGCUUUAGCCUUCUUCUGCUUCUGCGGCUUCGGUGGUGCAGGUGCUUCGUCAGAUUCAGCAUCAUCUGCAGGUUGAGCCACGACUGCCCCUUGAACCAUAAUAUGAGUGAUGAGACCUUCUAGGUUGUAGAAGGGCCCAACCAGAUUGGGUUCAGCUUCUCGUGUGCCAUCAGCACGUGGCGCAGAGGGGCCUGGGUUGAAGUCUAAUCCCAAUGACUUCUUGUUUUCCUUGGUAGAGUUCUGUGCAAACUGAUAGUUGCGCUUGAAGAGAUUGUCUUCGCGACACCAUAACAGAGAGGAUGGGUCGGCAUUAGCAGGCUGAGGUCCACGAAGCAUGCAUGGGUAAAAGCCUUGAGCAAUAGCUUCGGACUAUGAUUUGGGCUGAAGACCUUUGUAUGUGAUAUCUCCCCAUGGUCCCUUGAUGGCACUCUUCUCAGCAUAUUCGUCGGUGAUGAAUCUGUACUUGAACCAUUCCUCUGCCCAAUGUCUUCGAAUCCAUUGGAUUCGGUUCUUGCGUUCUCCAUAGGUUUCUUCUGGAUCUGACUUGUAUUGCUCAUAUAGAUCUGGUAGCAGGUCCUUAGCAGUGUUUCCACGGUGUUGUCUGCCUCCCUUCCUUGUAGAUUUCUCUGUAGCCAUGAACUUCAAACUGAAUGGCUUCAACAUGUUCAAAGGUUUCAAAGGCUUCCGCCUGCAGGUCAAACAGGAACUGGCUUCGGGAGAAUUUAUACGAUGUUGUAAGAAUUCUGGAAAUGAAUGCAGACUAUGAGAACCAAGGGAUUCUCCCACGGACAUGUACCUGUGAUAGCAUUAAGGUGCGAGGGAAGGGGAAGAGGUCAUAUGCAUUCUCAGAAGAUUUUGAAGAUAAAUCAGUUUAGAAGACAUUGACCUCAUCAUGCGAAGACAUUCACUCAUAGAUAAAGAGUUGGUUCCAGAUUUGUACGAAUCCACGGAUCAGUACAAGUGAGGAAUCUAACUACUUUGUGAAGCAUAAGUGAACAUACUAGGCAUGUUAUGAGAUGCAGUAUGAAAUAGAUCCAGCUUGUGUGAAUAGAAACUUCUUGUGGCAGAAAGUGAUGAAUCUAUAGGAUCAAAGGGGCCAUAAAAAGGAAGUUUUAUUUACCACACGAAGAACUGCUAGACAGAGUGGAAGAGGAGGCCGAGAAGUUCGAUCGUCCGUGCCCUAACUUGGCGACGGAGGACACCUACAGCGACGGCGGAGAAGACGAUGUCCGCGGCCAACAUGAAGACGGUGUCGGAGAGGUCGCGGCAGCUAAGUGCUUCGUCGCAGGCGUCGUCGAGGGCUAGCGGUGGCGCUAGGGUUUGUGCGAGAAUGGAAGAAAGGAUAAUGACUGUGGUGAGGCGUGUAUUUAUAGGGACAGGGACGACACAGUGUUAUUACACAGGUGCCCCUGGCGAUUCACAUCUGAAGGACACAUGGCCAUCAUGCAACAUAUCAGAGGUUGUUCCACGUUCCCACGCACGCCUGGAUUGUCGGGUGGUCGUUCCUACUUCUCCGGGUUUCAGGUGAAGAAAUUAGCAUUGAAAACGGACUUAAUGUUUGUCUCUGUAUCUUCUGCUGACAAGGACACAGAGAAGACAUUCGACAGUUUCAAGAGAAUGCAUAUGAUUUGGACAGAUAGAGUUUGAGAUAGAAAGCAUAGAGAGGUUAGGGUCCGAUCACAUUCACUUAGUUCAAAAGAUUCAACAAGAAGACAUAGCUAUAAGUGAAUGCUGUAGAGGACAGAACACUAGUAUAUAUAUAUAUAUAUAUUAUAUUUAUAUAUAUAUAUAUAUAUAUGAGAAAGACAAUCAAAUCAACAUAGUGACGAUAAUCAUGAAGACAAGUUGAAAAUGAAGAUAAACAAACUGUGAAGACAUAGCAAAUGUAAUGCCUUAGGUAAAACACUUCAAACAGAAGAAUUUGGUGGUGGCAUUACCCACCGUAUAGGAAGUAUUAGACCCAGACACGGCGCAUAAUUAUCGUGGCGCUCCGAAGUCAAAUUCCACAUUAAUGUAUUCACACUUAGAAUGUAAGUCUUCAUUGAUUGAAGAUAUACUUUACUUCGUGUGUUGCACAUCUAAGUCAUCAAUAUGCAUAAGUGUUAGGAUGUGUGCCUGAUCACAGGACAUUUGAGGAUUCCAAGAUAUUUAGCUCACACCGUAACUUGCAAAAUCUCUUCUCAUCCAAGGGCUUGGUGAAGAUAUCUGCCAAUUGCUCUUCAGUGUUGACGUGUAUGAUAUCAAUAUCUUCCUUCACAACAUGAUCUCUGAGAAAGUGAUGACGAAUUUCAAUAUGCUUUGUCUUCGAGUGCUGAACUGGGUUGUAGGCAAUCUUGAUGGCGCUUUCGUUGUCGCAGUAGAGUGGCACUUGCUUCAGAUGAAUGCCAUAGUCUUUGAGUGUUUGCUUCAUCCACAGAAGCUGAGCGCAGCAAGAUCCAGCAGCAAUGUAUUCAGAUUCAGCACUGGAGAGAGAUACAUAGUUCUGCUUCUUUGAAGACCAACAUACAAGUGAUCAUCCCAGAAAAUGACAUGUGCCUAAUGUAGAAUUGCGAUCCACCUUGUCACUAGCACAAUCAGCAUCCGAGAAUCCAACUAGAUCAAACUCUGAGCCCUUUGGAUACCAUAAUCCUAGUGUUGGGGUGUAAGCCAAAUAUCGAAGAAUUCGCUUCAUAGCUAAGUGAUGUGAUUCCUUUGGUGUCACUUGGAAUCGAGCACAUAUGCAAACACUAAGCAUAAUAUCUGGCCUAGAUGCACAUAGAUAAAGUAAAGAACCAAUCAUGGAGCGGUAUACCUUUUGAUCAAACUCUUUACCAUUGUCGUCGGGACCCAGAUGAUGUUUGGCUGGCAUUGGCAUCGUGAAGCCUUUGCAGUCUUGCAUCCCAAAUUUCUUCAGGCAAUCUUUGACGCACUUCUCUUGAGAUAUGAAGAUGUCGUUGCGUUGCUGACGUAUUUGAAGACCAAGGAAGAACUUCAGCUCACCCAUCAUGGACAUCUUAUAUUGCUCUUGCAUCAUAUAUUCAAACUCUUCACUGUAUUUCUGAUUGGUGUAGCCGAAGAUAAUGUCAUCCACAUAUAUUUGGCACACAAUCAGUUCACCAUCAUAUGUCUUCGUGAAGAGAGUGGGGUCGAGGGAACCAGGUUUUAAGCCUUUGCUCUUCAGGAAGUCUUUGAGUGUGUCAUACCAAGCCCGAGGGGCUUGUUUGAGGCCAUACAGUGCCUUGUUGAGCUUGUACACCAUGUCCGGAUGUUUUGGAUCUUCAAAGCCAGGCGGUUGUGAAACAUACACUUCUUCUUCAAUCUUGCCAUUGAGAAAAGCGCUCUUCACAUCCAUUUGAUAUAGAAGAAUGUUAUGAUGAUUUGCAUAGGCCAGCAGUAUGUGUAUGGCUUCAAGUCUAGCCACAGGAGCAAAUGUUUCAUCGAAGCCAAUCCCUUCAACUUGAGUGUAUCCUUGAGCAACGAGACGAGCUUUGUUUCUGACAACUUGACCAUGCUCAUCUUGCUUGUUGCGAUAUAUCCAUUUGGUGCCUAUUAUAUUGUGCUUGUGAGGAUCAGGACGCUUAAACAGUUCCCAUACAUUAUUCAGCUCAAACUGUUGAAGCUCUUCUUGCAUAGCUUGAAUCCAUUCAGGUUCCAUGAAGGCUUCUUCAACUUUCUUGGGUUCAGAUAUUGAGAUGAAUGCGAAGUGCCCAAAGAAAUUUGCUAGCUGUGUUGCCCUUGAAUGAGUGAGUGGACCUGGUGCAUUCAUGCUAUCAAUUAUUCUCUCAAUCUAUACUUCAUUUGCAACACGAGGAUGUACAGGACUGUAAGUGCAUCUAGUGCCACCCCUAGUUGGUUUUGGAGUAUUGACGACAAACCUAGUUGAGGGACUAAUGUGCUUGUGAGAAUUGCAGGAUAACACAGGUAGAAGUCCCUCAUUGAUUCGGUUUUACUACCAGAGAUGACCCCUAAAAAUGUAUGAAGACAUUGAAGCCAAAGGUGGUAUAUGAAGAUAUUCACAUUGAAGACUAUGACAAAAGAGGACACGUUAUGAAGCCUAUGGAGCUCGAGACUUAGAUCUUUCAUAGUUAUUUUUCUUUUGUGUUGAGUCAUAGGAACCACCAUACUGUUAAGUGGGGUCCAGGAGAACCAGUCAGAAUGACUGAAGUGAUGCCUAAACCAAAAACCUAUGUCUUCGAGUGAAGACAAUGAGAGCGAAUCUUGUCCAGAGCCGGACAAGUUAGCUUUGCUUGUAGCCCAAGUAAAGUUGCCAUGAGAGUUUGAAAUCUGACCGUUGAGACACGUGUCAGUUCCUUAGUGACCCAGGGUCAUUUCGGACAAAUCAAGUCGGGUUGCCAAGUGGCUAUAAAUAGCCCACCCCCUACAACCAUAAACGGUUGGCUGCUCAGAUUUCAGUGCACGGCUUUUGUCAUUUGAGAGCAACCCACCUCGAAGCCUUUGAGAGAAAAUUCCUAGCGAGGAGAAAAGCCCUAACCACCCAAAGCCAGAGAACAUUGGGCAUCACUUAAGUCUUCUUGUCUGUGUGAUCUGAAGACUUAUUACACUUGAGGACUGUGAAUCCUCCAGACGGUUAGGCGUCGCGUUCAGAGCAUCCAAGAGACAUUGUGGAUUGCCAGUGAACAAAGUCUGUGAAGGUUUGGGAGUCUACCUUGAAGACUUACCAGAGUGAUUGGGCGAGGACUAUGUGACCUUAGCUCAAGGAGAAUACGGUGAGGACUUGGUGUCCUGAGCUGCGUGUUCAGGACUGGGUGUCCGGGACUGUGUGUCCUAAGGUUUAAAUACCUAGCCGCUCCAACCAGACGUACAGUUGUCACAGCAACUGGAACUGGUCCAACACAUCAUUGUCUUCAACGAGUCACCGGUUUCAUCUUCACUUCCUUUUUCUUACUGUUACUCAUUGUGAAGCCAUUGCAUGCUUGCUCUAUCUUUUGUCUUCACAACGUGAAUGUAUGAUCUGUUUGGCUUCAUAACUUCUUCCUACUUGAUCCUUAUUACACUGCAGCUGUUUGUCUUUGUGCUUUCACUCUAUUGAAUACUUGACCAUGGCUUGCCUAGUGUAAUCUAACUUCCACUGCAUAGUAAUAGGCAAAAUCUUCGCUGUUUGUCUUCAUAACUCCCACGUUUUGAAGACUUUCAUAAAAAUCGCCUAUUCACCCCCCUCUAGUCGAUAUAUCGCACUUUCAAUUGGUAUCAGUGCAAGGUGCUCCCUUGUUCUGUGUGAUAGAAGCGAUUAUCUGUUGGGUGCUGAAAUGACUCGAUCUGAAUCCUUAAUUAAAGACAUAAAAAAUCUUCACGUUAAGUAUCAGGAACUUGAAGAUCGUCUUGAUACUCUCUCAACAACUCAUGAAAAGCUUUCCUAUGAUUAUCUUCAAAGGAAGCAAGAACUUGAGAAAUUGAGAGCGGCUCAUGAAGAUCUUCAAAAGGAAAACGAAUCACUUCGCGCCGAACAGAUCAGUUCCGCUCAGGAAGGAUUUGAACCACCAUGUCUUAAAUGCAUUGAGCGUGAUAAUGCUACUUCUGUUGCUGAAUGUUCCACUGCUACUGCUGUUGCAAUAUCUUCAACUGUUGAUGUGGUAACUAACCCCUCUGCUGAGGAUACCACUGCUAUUGCUGAUGAGAAUGCUAGGUUGAAGACAUUGCUUGAAACAGGGAUGUACAAAAGUCUUAAAGGACAUCAGACACUAUGUGAUGUCCUCAAGAAGCAGAUUCUGAACCGAAACCCUAGGAAAGAGGUUGUUGGGUUUGUAAGGAAAAUAAAUGCAGAUGGCUCUUACUGGAAACCUGAGCAGUACCCCAAAACCACAUGGGUUGCUGCAAAGGAACCUUCAGCUGAUCCAUCCAAUUUAUCUGGCUUCACAUGUGCUAACCCCAUUAUUAUUGAUGAAUCCUUUGAUGCAAACUAUAAACUGUUUAAGAAUCAGAAUGGUGAAGUGUUUGCCAGGUACAUUGGUACUAACUGCAGGAAUGGACCAUCUAUGAAGAAGAUCUGGGUUCCAAAAAAGUGUCUGGAAAAUCUUCCUGUGAAUGUCUUCAUGACACCUCACUUGAAGAAGACAAACCUCAGACCAAAGGCUUCAUACGGUCCAAAGGCUUCAUACAAACAGAGGACUCACCUGAGUCACACUAACGCAAAUGUUUUGCAGGGAAACCAUACUCAGGCAUAUGAAUAUGAGAGCAGUUCAUCGAACCAUCAUGUUCAUAUGACCAAAAAUUAUUCUGCUUAUUCCUAUGAGUAUUAUUGUCCACCUGCAAGACUGUUUGCUAAGGCUUCAAAGCCAAAAUUCUCAGAUGCUGCACUUAGACUUAUUGCUUCUAAGCCACCCUUGAAGAUGUGGGUGGUUAAGAAAGCUUAACUCUCUUUUGCAGGGAAAGGUCUCCAGCAGAAAAACAAAAUCUUCUGACGCUAUUGCUGGGGACCUUAAAAAUCUUGUAGGGCGCAUGAUAAAAUGCCCGAAUGGCAUCAUUAUGUACUUUGUUCCUGAAUCGCAUGCUACUCUCCCUAUUAGUCCUAAUCUGGAUCUAAGUUUUCAUAACCCACUGGUUCGUCAAAUGUUUUUGCUUCACAAUUCUCUUCGUGAAGCCUAUCCCCCUAACUGCACUGUAGGGUACGACACCAGCGUCUUCAAAGUCUUCAGAAUGGAUUAUUGACAGUGGGUGUACAAAUCACAUGACUGGCAAAAGAAGCCUUCUUAUGGACUCAACCUUACGUCCAUCCGACAAGAGCCACAUCACAUUUGCUGACACUGGUAAAAGUAAGGUAUUGGGUCUAGGUAGAGUUGCAAUCUCAAAGGAUCAACACAUGGAUAAAGUCAUGCUUGUUGAAUCCCUGGGCUUCAACUUAAUGUCUGUCUCAAUGCUUUGCGAUUUGAACAUGAUCAUAAUGUUUGGAAAAUAUCGUUGCCUAGUACUAAUGGAAUCUGACAAGUCUCUAGUGUUUGAAGGGUAUCGAAAAGAUGAUCUGUACGUGGUAGAUUUCUCAGCAGGGCCACAACUUGCAGUAUGUCUUCUUGCAAAAGCUUCAGAAUGCUGGCUUUGGCAUCGGAGGCUUGGGCAUGCUGGCAUGAGGAACCUCCACACCCUUGCGAAGAAGAAGCAUGUCAUAGGCAUCGAGGGUGUCAAGUUCAAGAAAGAUCACUUAUGCGGUGCUUGUGAAGUAGGGAAAAUGACAAGGGCAAAACAUCCUUCGAAGACAAUCAUGACUACUACUCAACCCUUCGAACUGCUCCACAUGGAUCUUUUCGGCCCCACUCACUACUCAACUUUUACUACUACUGCUUGCCUCUAUGGCUUUGUCAUUGUUGAUGAUUACUCUAGAUAUACUUGGGUGCACAUAAUCCUUUACAAGGCUGAAGUGCAGGAUGUCUUCAGACGCUUCGCCAAUCAUGCUAUGAACAAUUUUGGCGCCAAGAUAAAACACAUCAAAAGUGACAAUGGCACUGAAUUCAAGAACACUGGCCUUGAUACAUACCUUGAUACCUUGGGCAUCACACAUGAAUUCUCAGCUCCGUACACGCCACAGCAGAAUGGCAUCGUCGAACGCAAGAACAAAACACUCAUUGAGAUGGCCAGAACAAUGCUAGAUGAAUACAAGACUCCAAGAAAAUUCUGGAAUGAAGCCAUUGACACUGCAUGCCAUACAAUCAAUCGUGUUUAUCUUCACAAGCUUCUGAACAAGACAUCUUAUGAACUCCUAACUGGCAAGAAGCCAAAUGUCAGUUACUUCAGAGUAUUUGGCGCAAGGUGCUGGAUCAAGGACCCACACCACACCUCAAAGUUUGCACCAAAAGCACAUGAGGGCUUUAUGCUUGGAUAUGGAAAGGAUUCGGACUCCUACAGAGUCUUCAAUCUCUUUCAUUACAAAGUGGUUGAAACAGUGGAUGUGCGGUUCGAUGAGACAAAUGGUUCACAAAGAGAGCAACUGCCAAAUGUGCUAGAUGAGAUUCCAACUAGUGAAUCAAUCAAGCUAAUGGGAACUGGAGAGAUUAUACCUUCUGAAGCUCAUCCUGAAGAAGAACUUAUCAUCUCAGCACCUGAUCAACAUGAAGACAAUGCUCAGCCUGAAGACAUUCCUCCCAACAACAACACAGAUCAGUAAGAGCAAAGUCUUCGCCCUAUACAUCCUCGUGUUGCCAAUGAAGUGCAUAUUGACAGAAUAAUUGACAGCAUCAAUGCACCUGGUCCACUCACUCGUUCAAGGGCAACUCAGCUAGCAAAUUUCUGUGGGCACUUCGCAUUCGUCUCAAUAUCAGAACCCAAGAAAGUUGAAGAAGCCUUCAUGGAACUUGAAUGGAUUCAAGCUAUGCAAGAAGAGCUUCAACAGUUUGAGCUGAAUAAUGUAUGGGAACUGGUUAAGCGUCCUGAUCCACGGAAGCACAACAUAAUAGGCACCAAAUGGAUAUACCGCAACAAACAAGACGAGCAUGGUCAAGUUGUCAGAAACAAAGCUCGUCUCGUUGCUCAAGGAUAUACUCAAGUGGAAGGCAUUGACUUCGAUGAAACAUUUUCUCCCGUGGCUAGGCUUGAAGCCAUACGCAUUCUGCUGGCCUAUGCAAAUCAUCAUAACAUACUUCUAUAUCAAAUGGAUGUGAAAAGUGCCUUUCUCAAUGGCAAGAUUGAAGAAGAAGUGUAUGUUGCACAACCGCCUGGCUUUGAAAAUCCAAAACAUCCUGACAUGGUAUACAAGCUCAACAAGGCACUGUAUGGCCUCAAACAAGCCCCUAGGGCCUGGUAUGACACACUCAAAUACUUCCUGAAGAGCAAAGGCUUCAUACCUGGUUCCCUGGAUCCCACUCUUUUCACGAAGACAUAUGAUGGUGAACUGUUUGUGUGCCAAAUAUAUGUGGAUGACAUUAUCUUCGGCUGCACCAAUCAGAAGUACAGUGAAGAGUUUGGAUAUAUGAUGCAAGAGCAAUAUCAGAUGUCCAUGAUGGGGGAAUUAAAGUUCUUCCUUGGUCUUCAAAUACGACAACAACGCAAUGGCAUCUUCAUAUCUCAAGAGAAGUAUCUCAAAGAUUGCCUGAAGAAGUUCGGUAUGCAAGACUGCAAAGGCUUCACAACACCAAUGCCAGCCAAACAUCAUCUAGGUCCCGACGACAAUGGUAAAGAGUUCGAUCAAAAGGUAUACCGCUCCAUGAUUGGUUCUUUGCUUUAUUUAUGUGCAUCUAGGCCAGAUAUUAUGCUUAGUGUUUGCAUGUGUGCUCGAUUUCAAGCAGCACCAAAGGAGUCGCAUCACUUAGCUGUGAAGCGAAUUCUUCGAUAUUUGGCUCACACCACAACUCUAGGAUUAUGGUAUCCAAAGGGCUCAGAGUUUGAUUUGGUUGGAUUUUCGGAUGCUGAUUAUGCCGGUGACAAAGUUGAUCGCAAGUCUACAUCAGGCACAUGUCACUUUCUGGGACGAUCACUUGUAUGUUGGUCUUCAAAGAAGCAGAACUGUGUAUCUCUCUCCACUGUUGAAUCUGAAUGCAUUGCUGCUGGAUCUUGCUGUGCUCAGCUUCUGUGGAUGAAGCAAACACUCAAGGAUUAUGGCAUUCAUCUAAAGCAAGUACCACUUUACUGCGACAAUGAAAGCGCCAUCAAGAUUGCCAACAACCCAGUUCAACACUCAAAGACAAAGCACAUUGAAAUUCGUCAUCACUUUCUCAGAGAUCAUGUUGUGAAGGAAGACAUUGAUAUCAUACACGUCAACACUGAAGAACAAUUAGCAGAUAUCUUCACCAAGCCCUUGGAUGAGAAGAGAUUUUGCAAGUUACGGUGUGAGCUAAAUAUCCUGGAAUCCUCAAAUGUCCUGUGAUCAGGCACACAUCCUAACACUUAUGCAUAUGAUGACUUAGAUGUGCAACGCACAAAGUAAAGUAUAUCUUCAAUCAAUGAAGACAUACAUUCUAAGUGUGAAUACAUUAAUGUGGAAUUUGACUUUGGAGCGCCACGAUAAUUGUGCGCCGUGUCUGGGUCUAAUACUUCCUAUACGGUGGGUAACGCCACCACCAAACGUUCUAUUUUGAAGUGUUUCACUCAUGGCGUUACCUUGCAAUAUCUUCACAUUUGGUUUGGCUUCAAACUCAACAUGUCUUCAUGAUUAUCUUCACUAUGUUGAUUAUAUAGAUGUAUACAUACUAGUGUUCUGUCCUCUACAACAUUCACUUAUAGCUAUGUCUUCUUGGUUGAAUCUUUUGAACUAAGUGAAUGUGAUCGGACCCUAAUCUCUCUAUGCUUUCUAUCUCAAAUUCUAUCUCUCCAAGUCAUAUGCAUUCUAUUGAAACUGUCGAAUGUCUUCACUGCGUCCUUGUCAGCAGAAGAUAUAGAGACAACCAUAAAGUCCGUUUUAAAUGCUCAUUCCUCCACAUAAAAUCCGGAGAAGCAGGAACGACCGCCCGACAAUCCAGGCGUGCGUGGGACGUGGAACAAACCCCAAACUUCCGCAAACAGGCCACGCGUUCCUCAGAUGCGAAUCACCAGGGGCACCUGUGUAAUAGCACAGUGCCGCCCCUGUGCCUAUAAAUUCACACUUACCGCGGUCAUUAUCUCCUUCUUCCACCCUCGCACGAACCCUAGCGCCACCGCUAGCUUUCGACGACGCCGACGACGAAGCGCUUCGCUGCCGCAACCUCUCCGACGCCGUCCUCACACCGACCGCGGACAUCGUUCUCUCCGCCGUCGCCGUAGGUGUCUUCCGUCGCCAAGUUAGGGCACGGAGGACUGAACUGCUCGGCAUCAUCUCCCACUUCCGUCUAGCAGUUCCAAGUGUGGUAAAUAAAACUUCUUUCUACAGCCCCUUUUGAUCUCAUGGUUCUAUCACUUUCUACCAUAAGAAGUUUAUCUUCACACAAGUUAGAUCUCUCAAUCUGCAUCUCAUAACAUGCCUAGUAUAUUCACUUGUGCUUCAUGAAGUAGUUAGAUUCCUCACUUGUACUGAUCUGUGGGUUCGUACAAAUCUGGAACCAACUUCUUAUCUAUGAGUGAAUGUCUUUGCACGAUGAGGUCAAUGUCUUCUAAAUUGAUUAAUCUUCAAAACCUUCUCAGAAUCCAUAUGACCUCUUCCCCUUCCCUCGCACCUUAAUGCUGUCACAGGUACAUGUCCGUGGGAGAAUCCUUCGGUUCUCAUAGUCUGCAUUCAUUUGCAGAAUUCCUACAGCAUCACAUAAAUUCUCCUGAAGCCAGUUCCUGUUGGUCUAGCAAAAGAAGGCCUUUGAAGCCUUUGAAAGUUUUGAAGCCUUUCAAGUUAAAGUUUAUGGCUUCAGAAGCAGCAGCAAGGAAGGGGGGCAGACAUCGACGUGAAGGAACUUCCAAAGAUCUGCCUGAAGACCUGGCAGAAAUGUAUAAAACAGAUCCUGAAGAGAAUUAUGGACAACGCAAGACCCGAAUCCAAUGGAUUCGACGCUAUUGGGCUGAACAAUGGUUCAAAUACCGCUUCACAACCCAAGAGUAUGCUGAGAAAAGUGCCAUCAAAAUACCGUGGGGAGACAUCUUAUACAAAAACCUUGUACCCAGGUCCAGAGAUGAAGCUAUUGCCCAAAGCUUCUAUCCAUGCAUGGUUCGUGGGCCACAGCCUGAUGAUGCACAUCCGUCGUCACUACUCUGGUGUCGUGACGACAAUCUAUUCAAGCGCAACUUCCAGUUUGCCCAACAAUCAGCGAAGUAGAACAAGAAGAAGUUGGGGUUAGACUUCAACCCUGGUCCCUCAGCACCAAGGGCAGAUGGCACACGCUACGCAGAACCCAAUAUCAUCGGUCCGUAUGCCAAUCUUGAGGGCCUCAUCACCCGCAUCUUAGUCCAAGGGACUGCCGUGAAUGACCCUCCAGUUGACUCUGAGUCUGAUGAAGCUCCUGCUGUACCGAAGCCAAAGCAGUCGAAGAAGCCAAAAGCUUCAAAGCCAGCCCCUUCAUCAAAAAUCUCAAGGGCGAAGCCAUUGGCAACUGCACCUCCUGAAGACAGUGUGCAGUCUGAAGACGUAUCCCGCGUCUCCAAGCCCCAGAAGGCCAAGGUGCCUCAGCCACACAUCGGCAAAGAGCUCACAGCUGCUGCCAUUCUGCGCAGCGAAGCCAUUGAUCUGUCAAGUGAUGAAGAUCUUGGAGAUGACGCUCUGGAGCAGCUCAUCAAGAGCAAAGAAGAAGCUGAAAUCUUCAACAAUUUGCCUCUCUUUGAUGUCGCCAUCAUCCACAACUUCAUCGACGAAUGGUUUGCCACACCAAAUAUCAGCUUCGAAGAUCUGCAGCUGCCUGUUGGCCUCAGCGUCGCCUUCCAAGGUGCAAUUGCUUCAGAACUUGCCAUUGCCCAGCGCAUUGUUGAACUGAAGCAGAAAAUUGAUCAUGAAAAGGCUCAGUUCAAGAAGAAUAUGGCCAAGCUCAGCGUGCAAGAAGUGAAGAGCUUCAAGACCAUGUUGCAUGAGCUCAAGGAAAAUUUUCUGAAGAAGCGUGCAGAAGCUCAGGGCUCACGUGAGUGGAUGAAGUCUCUGGCUGAAAGAUGUGUACAAGCCUACAAUGAGGCUGAGAAGCGCAAGGCACUUGGGCGUCCUGGCAUCGACCCCAAGAUGGCCGCGAAGAAGAAGAAGAAGCCUGCUAUGGCCGAACCAGAGGCACCUGGGCAAGAAGCAGUUCCAAUUGUCUUCCCAACUGCAACGACUGGCUCGAAGCCAAAGAGCCGGUCAACAGCUUCAGAGCUCAAGAAGACAAGAACUGCUGAGGCUGAAGCCAGGAAGAGUAAAAGCUCUGAAGCCUCUCCUACUGCCCCCAGCAAGAAGAAGCGAAAGAUCAAGAAAUCUCGGGCUGCUCGCACAGAGCCCUUGAUAGUUGAACCUAUCUCUAUGGUUCACCCCAACGCAGAACGACAACUGACAGUUCAUGAGCCUGCUUCCAUAGAGGCUCCUGAAGCUGAAGACAUACCAGCAGCCGACCCCAUUGCUACUGAAGACAUUGGUCAUUAGGACAAUGUACAAGAUGAUGCAGCCCUUCCUCAGUAUGAACAAAGGGAGCUCAUCAGCAUUGGUCGUCCUCUGACGCCAAUUGCACAAGAUGCGUCAUGGGAGGAUCGCCCUCAAGAGGAAGAAGACAAUGAGGCCCAGCCCACUCCAACCCCACAGGCGUCGUCUGCAUUCCGCAGGCUUCGCAAAGGUCCAAGGCCUCAAGUCUAUGCUGAAGACAUUCCGGCUACAUCAGCCGCAGAAGACGCACCACAAGAGCCUACUCCUAUGCUCCACCAAGAAGCAGUUCUCCAGGAGAACGUGCUUGUGACUGACCCUCCAGCUAGUCAAGUGGAGGCUGAAAAUGUUGAGGCUGCCACAACCAACACUGAAGCCAAUGUGGAGCCCUCCCCACCAAAAGCUUCAGCAGACAACGAAGCUACUGAUCCAGACACUUCUGUUCCUGAGUCUGCUGCAGGUCCUCAAUUUGAUUACCAUGUUGAGCACAGGCCUCAUGUCCAGAAGCGAGUCCCAAGGCUGCCAAGGUUCACAGGUCCUGCAUCAGCACCUGGCUCCUUUGACAUCAAUAUCUUCAAGGCAGACAAUACGUUCUUCAACAGCUCCAAGAACCCCUAUUCAAGGGAAAGGAUUUCAUCAGAUAGGUUCUGGAGCUAUCCUCAGCGCAGCUACUAUUCAUGCAUCCUAUACAACCAAGGUCGCAUCUUCCCGCACAAGCGCCUUGAUGUUGAAGGCAUUGCUGGUCUGCCCUGCUUAGAGGAAGCGCUGGAUUGCUUCAAGCAAGUGGGUCUGCUGCAGUUUAUAACUGAUGAAGAGCACUAGAAUGAAGAGCUUCUGUUGCAAUUCUAUGCCACCCUACACAUCAAAGGAUACAACAGAGAUCCGAAGACUUGUGCCCUGGAGUGGAUGACCGGCAAUGUCCAUCACGAAGCUAAUGCAUUCGAUAUCAUUGAGCUCACCGGCCUGCCCACUCCUGGCGAACUCUUCGAGGAAGGCUGUCCACUACACACUAAAGCUCUUGAGAGCAUAUUCCAGAGGCCUGAACCAAAUAUGAGUCAGAUGCUCUCCAUGAUGAAGCCAUUGCCCCACGAUGCUCCUUAUCCAACAUAGUUCUUCAUUGAAGACUUUGAGUACCUGCCCAGAACCAUCUAUCACAUUAUCCGGCGGACUCUCUGGCCUAUUAAAGGGCACUCUCCAAAUGCCAAGAUCGAGGGUGCAAUAAAGACUCUGAUAUUCUGUAUCCUUCAUGGCAAAUGCUUCAAUGCAUAGGACUUCUUCAUACGCCAACUCGCUGCCUCAGGCUCAGAUUUGUUUGGUUUAAAGUUCUAUGCUCCUUGGGUAAUGAGACUGAUCAAGCUUCACUCUGCGAUCUCAUAUCAGCCCUCAGCCCGCAACCAUCAGAUCUUCUUGCCAGAUGUGGAUACCUCUGCUGAAGCUAUAUAUCCUGAGCCUGCCAAGCAACCUUUGAGUCUUCAGAAUGCAGAACACCAGAGCUUCACUCAAAACGAUGAAGGUGUUGAAGCCAUCUCCAGGGUGUAUCCUUUGGCUGGCACUACACGUGCGCCACACCCUGCUUCAACUGAAGCCACUGAUAGUGCAACUGCUUCCAGACCCAAGAAGCGCGCUCGUUUUCUCAAUAACCGAGAGUUUCUUGUGGCCCUUCAUCAAAAACAAGAUAGGCAUCACGACUGGCUAAAGCGUCAGAUGAAAAGCCUCUUGGUGGAUGUUAAUCGUCUUCGAAAUCUUGCCACCAAGAAUGCUUUCGUCACUCAAUAAACCUGUCGUCGUACAUGGAAAGGGCUAUCAAUGAUGUGUACUGAAGCUGAACUUGAAGAGCAUGGCUUCACUGAGCGAUUCAAGUUUGACACCACACCUCCUAGAAGGGCUGUGAUGCGCAACACACCAUCACUUGAAGACUCUGAGUUUUCUUCAUCUGCUGCCACAGUCACUGCCAGAAUCAUUGAUGAAGAAGACGAUGCUACAUCACCGCCACCUGCUUCAGCACCUCCAAGCUCUUCUGCACCACCAAACACCUCCAACGACCCUGCUGCUCCUGGGAACGAGUAGACACUCUAUGUCUUCAAACCUUUUUGGUCCUUGCUGACAAAAGGGGGAGAAGCAUAUGGUUGAUAGUCUUCAAGCGGGUCCAUAUGGGCGGGUGCUUUAUGUUUUGCUAUAUUUUGCUUCGUGCUUACAACUCUCGUUUUUGCUUCAUUUGGUUCUUUGAGUUGUAACACUAAAACUCGAUGGUCGUCUGCUACUUGUUUGCCACCCUGUUUGCGAAGAUAAAUUCCGCAUGUGCGACGAUAAAUUCCACACUUAUCUCAUUCUGCAGACGUCCAUUUUCCAUUAUGCAUGUCAUUAUCUUCAUAUACUUUCACAUGCAUAGUGGAUUGUCAUCAUAAGCUGAUUUGGAUCUCCACAAGUACAACCUGCCAUGCGCAUUUGCAUUCUAAAAGCAAAUUAACUUAUAUGCACAUCUUCAGGGGGAGCCCUUGAAACUUAUGAAGACAAUUCCUUAUCCUUUACAAUUUCACAGACUAUAUUCCCCGUUGAAAACUUCAACUAGUUUGUCAUCAAUCACCAAAAAGGGGGAGAUUGUAAGUGCAUCUAGUGCCACCCCUAGUUGGUUUUGGAGUAUUAACGACAAACCUAGUUGAGGGACUAAUGUGUUUGUGAGAAUUGCAGGAUAACACAGGUAGAAGUCCCUAGUUGAUUCAGUUUUACUACCAGAGAUGACCCCUAAAAAUGUAUGAAGACAUUGAAGCCAAAGGUGGUAUAUGAAGAUAUUCACAUUGAAGACUAUGACAAAAGAAGACACGUUAUGAAGCCUAUGGAGCUCGAAGACUUAGAUCUUUCGUAGUUCUUUUUCUUUUGUGUUGAGUCAUAGGAACCACCAUACUGUUAAGUGGGGUCCAGGAGAACUAGUCAGAAUGACUGAAGUGAACAAAAAACCUAUGUCUUCGAGUGAAGACAAUGAGAGCGAAUAUUGUCCAGAGCCGGACAAGUCAGCUUUGCUUGUAGCCCAAGUAAAGUUUCCAUGAGAGUUUGAAAUCUGACCGUUGAGACACGUGUCAGUUCCUUAGUGACCCAGGGUCAUUUCGGACAAAUCAGGUCGGGUUGCCAAGUGGCUAUAAAUAGCCCACCCCCUACAACCAUAAACGGUUGGCUGCUCAGAUUUCAGUGCACGGCUUUUGUCGUUUGAGAGCAACCCACCUCGAAGCCUUUGAGAGAAAAUUCCUAGCGAGGAGAAAAGCCCUAACCACCCAGAGCCAGAGAACAUUGGGCAUCACUUAAGUCUUCUUGUCUGUGUGAUCUGAAGACUUAUUACACUUGAGGACUGUGAAUCCUCCAGACGGUUAGGCGUCGCGUUCAGAGCAUCCAAGAGACAUUGUGGAUUGCCAGUGAACGAAGUCUGUGAAGGUUUGGGAGUCUACCUUGAAGACUUACCAGAGUGAUUGGGUGAGGACUAUGUGACCUUAGCUCAAGGAGAAUACGGUGAGGACUUGGUGUCCUGAGCUGCGUGUUCAGGACUGGGUGUCCAGGACUGUGUGUCCUAAGGUUUAAAUACCUAGCCGCUCCAACCAUACGUACAGUUGUCACAGCAACUGGAACUGGUCCAACACAUCAUUGUCUUCAACGAGUCACCGGUUUCAUCUUCACUUCCUUUUUCUUACUGUUACUCAUUGUGAAGCCAUUGCAUGCUUGCUCUAUCUUUUGUCUUCACAACGUGAAUGUAUGAUCUGUUUGGCUUCAUAACUUCUUCCUACCUGAUCCUUAUUACACUUCAGCUGUUUGUCUUUGUGCUUUCACUCUAUUGAAUACUUGACCAUGGCUUGCCUAGUGUAAUCUAACUUCCGCUGCAUAGUAAUAGGCAAAAUCUUCGCUGUUUGUCUUCAUAACUCCCACGUUUUGAAGACUUUCAUAAAAAUCGCCUAUUCACCCCCCUCUAGUCGAUAUAACGCACUUUCAAGGACGAAUAUUUUGCUCUUGCUGAUCAUUGUCAUCGUUAGAAAUGUCUCCAGGCUGAGCAUUGUCUUCAGGUUGAUCAGGUGCGAAGAUGAUACGUUCCUCUUCAGGCUGAGCUUCAGAAGGUAUGAUUUCUCUAGUUCCCAUAAGUUUGAUUGAUUCACUAGAUGGAACUUCAUCUAGCACAUUUGACAGGUGCUCUCUUUGCGAACUGUUAGUCUCAUCGAACCGCACAUCCACUGUUUCAACCACUUUAUAGUGAAAAAGGUUGAAGACUCUAUAGGAGUGCGAAUCCUUUCCAUAUCCAAGCAUAAAGCCUUCGUGUGCUUUUGGUGCAAAUUUUGAAGUGUGAUGUGGAUCCUUGAUCCAGCACCUGGCACCAAAUACUCUUAAGUAACUAACAUUUGGCUUCUUGCCAGUAAGGAGCUCAUAGGAUGUCUUGUUAAAAAGCUUGUGAAGAUAAACAUGGUUGAUGAUAUGGCAUGCAGUAUCAAUGGCUUCAGGCCAGAAUUUUCUUGGAGUCUUGUAUUCAUCAAGCGUCGUCCGAGCCAUCUCAAUAAGUGUUCUGUUCUUGCGUUCGAUGACGCCAUUCUGCUGUGGCGUGUAUGGAGCUGAGAAUUCAUGUGCGAUGCCCAAAGUAUCAAGAUAUGUAUCCAGUCCAGUGUUCUUGAAUUCAGUGCCAUUGUCACUUCUGAUGUGCUUUAUCUUGACGCCAUAGUUGUUCAUUGCUCGAUUGGUGAAGCGUCUGAAGACAUCCUGCACUUCAGUCUUGUAGAGGAUUAUAUGCACCCAAGUAUAUCUUGAAUAAUCAUCAACAAUGACAAAGCCAUAGAGACAAGCAGUAGUAGUAAGAGUCAAGUAAUGAGUGGGACCAAAAAGGUCCAUGUGGAGCAGUUCGAAGGGUUGAGUCGUUGUCAUGAUUGUCUUCGAGGGAUGCUUGGCCCUCGUCAUCUUUCCUGCUUCACAGGCACUGCAUAAGUGAUCCUUCUUGAACUUGACGCCCUCGAUGCCUAUGACAUGCUUCUUCCUUGCAAGGGUGUGGAGGUUCCUCGUGCCAGCAUGCUCUAGCCUCCGAUGCCAGAGCCAGCAUUCAGAAGCUUUUGCUAGAAGACAUACUGCAAGUUGUGGUCCUGCUGAGAAAUCUACCACGUACAAAUCAUCUUUCCGAUACCCUUCAAACACUAGAGACUUGUCAGAUUCCAUUAGAACAAGGCAACGAUAUUUUCCAAACAUCACAAUCAUGUUUAAAUCGCAAAGCAUUGAGACAGACAUUAAUUUGAAACCAAGGGAUUCAACAAGCAUGACUUUAUCCAUGCGUUGAUCCUUUGAGAUUGCAACUCUACCUAGACCCAAUACCUUGCUUUUACCAGUGUCAGCAAAUGUGAUGUGACUUUUGUCAGAUGGAUGUAAGGCUGAGUCCAUGAGAAGGCUUCGCUUGCUAGUCAUGUGAUUGGUACACCCACUAUCAAUAAUCCAUUCUAAAGCAGCUGGUGUCGUACCGUUGGCACCGCGUGCCAUGAAGCAGUAGGAAGGAGUGGAGUAGUCCUUGUCAUUUUCAUCGGUGUCGGUGAUGAAGUCAUUGUCUUCAGUGUUGAAGAUGGACUUGGCAACGUAUGAUGUAGCCAGACUCGCAACGCCAAAAUCGGACUCCUCCUCAGACUCCACCUCCGCCUCCUCAGAAGCGGACUCCUCCUCUGAAUCCAUUUCCUUGCCAACAAACACACGUGCCUUGCCAUAUGAGCUCUUCUUGUGUGAUGAAGACUUUGAGGAAGACUUGGAAGAAGACUUUGAGUGUUUCUUCUUCUUCUUGUCGUCAGAGUCAUACUCCUUGCUCUUCUUCUUCUUCUUGUUCUCAUUGUCCCACUGCGGACACUCAGAGAUUUAGUGGCUAGGUUUCUUGCACUUGUGGCAUGUUCUCUUCUUGUAGUCAUGAGCAGAAGCUUCAUCAUUCCUUGAGCUUGAUCGUGAGGACUUUCUGAAGCCUUUCUUCUUGGUGAAUUUUUAGAACUUCUUCACAAGCAUAGCAAGCUCCUUUCCAAUGACUUCAGGAUCAUCAGAACUGCUAUCAGAUUCUUCUUCAGAUGAGGAGACAACUUUUGCCUUCAAGGCCCGACUUCGCCCAUAGUUGGGACCGUAGAUGUCUCUUUUCUCAGAAAGCUGAAACUCGUGUGUGUUGAGCCUCUCAAGUAUGUCAGACAGAUUGAGUGUCUUAAAGUCAGGACGUUCUUGAAUCAUCAGGGCUAGGGUGUCAAAUGAGCUGUCAAGUGAUCUCAGGAGUGUCUUGACGACUUCAUGCUUGGUGAUCUCAGUAGCGCCGAGGGCUUGAAGCUCAUUUGUGAUGUCAGUGAGUCGAUCAAACAUGAGCUGGACAUUCUCAUUGUCAUUUCUCUUGAAGCAGUUGAAGAGGUUGCGAAGGACACUAAUUCUCUGAUCUCUCUGGGUUGAGACGCCUUCGUUGACCUUGGAGAGCCAGUCCCAGACUAGCUUAGAUGUUUCCAAAGCACUCACGCGGCCAUACUGUCCUUUGGUCAGAUGACCACAGAUGAUGUUGUUGGCAGUAGAGUCCAGUUGAACGAACUUCUUGACAUCAGCAGCGGUGACACCUUCUCCAGCCUUGGGAACGCCAUUCUUGAAGACAUACCAUAGGUCGACAUCAAUGGCUUCAAGAUGCAUGCGCAUCUUAUUCUUCCAGUAGGGAUAUUCAGUUCCAUCGAAGACGGGGCACGCAGCGGAGACUUUAAUUAUCCCUGCAGUCGACAUAGCUAAAACUCCAGGUGGUUAAAUCGAAUCACACAGAACAAGGGAGUACCUUUCUCUGAUACCAAUUGAAAGUGCUAGUGAUCGACUAGAGGGGGGGUGAAUAGGCGAUUUUUAUGAAAGUCUUCAAAACAUGGAAGUUUCGAAGACAAACGAUAGAAACAAACCUAUUACCAUGCAGUGGAAGGUAGACUACACUAGGAAAACCAUAGUCAAGUAUUCAAUGAAGUGAAAGCGCAAUGACUAAUAGCAGCUAGGCAGUAAGGAUCAGGUAGGAAGAUAUUGUGAAGCCAAUCAGAACAAGUAAUCACUCAGUGAAGCCAAAUGGUGAUGCAAUCGUACAAUGGCUUCACAAGGACCAAUAGUAAGUAAAGGGAAGGGAAGGAUGAAACCAGUGAUUCGUUGAAGACAAUGAUUUGUUGGACCAGUUCCAGUUGCUGUGACAACUGUACGUCUGGUUAGGGAGGCUGAGAUUUAACUCAGAAGACCUCAUCUUCACCUUAUUCCCCUUGAGCUAAGGACACCCAGUCCUCGCCCAAUCACUCUGGUAAGUCUUCAAGGUAGACUUCCAAACCUUCACAGACUUCGUUCACCGGCGAUCCACAAUGACUCUUGGAUGCUCAGAAUGCGACGCCUAACCGGCUGGAGGAUUCACAGUCCUCAAGUGUAAUAAGUCUUUAGAUCACACAGACGGGAAGACUUAAGUGAUGCCUAACACUCUUUGGAUCUGAGUGGUUAGGGCUUUAUCCUCGCAAGGAAUUCUCUCUCAAAGGCUUCGAGGUGGGUUGCUCUCAAACGACAAAAGCCGUAUUCUAACUCUGAGAAGCCAACCGUUUAUGGUUGUAGGGGGUGGGCUAUUUAUAGCCACUAGGAAACCCGACCUGAUUUGUCCGAAAUGACCCUCGGUCACUAAGGAACUGACACGUGUUCCAAUGGUAAGAUUUCAAACACACACGACAAAUUUACUUGGUCUACAAGCAAAGCUGACUUAUCCAACUCUGGACAAGAUUUGCUCUCAUAGUCUUCACUCGAAGACAUAGGAUUUUGGUUAAGCAUCACUUCAGUCAUUCUGACUGGUUCUCUUGGACCCCACUUAACAGUACGGUGGUUCCUAUGACUCAACAAAGAAGAAAAAGAAUGACGAAAGAACUAAGUCUUCGCACUCCAUAGUCUUCAUGCGAUGUCUUAUCUUGUCAUAGUCUUCAAUGUGAAUGUCUUCACAUACCACCUUUGUCUUCAAUGUCUUCUUACAUUUUUAGGGGUCAUCUCUGGUAGGAAACCCGAAUCAAUGAGGGACUUCUACCUGUGUUUUCCUGCAAUUCUCACAAACACAUUAGUCCCUCAACUAGGUUUGUCGUCAAUACACCAAAACCAACUAGGGGUGGCACUAGAUGCACUUACACUUGGACGCGAGCUGCUGAAUGUGUAGUGAUCUUCAUUGUUGAGUGAGCUUGUGGGUGUUGAAAUUAUGUGUAAUUUGAAAUUUUCUAUCUAAGUUGAUGUGUACUGAACUUCAGUACAAUUGAAGUGCAAUGUGCUAUCAAAGUUGUUGUGGAAUAACAUGGUGAAAGGUGGUUGAAUGAACAAUAUUUUGACAAUAGAUUG
This 26585-nucleotide long non-coding RNA is filed under the name Triticum aestivum (bread wheat). RNAcentral describes it as "long non-coding RNA (TAES_LNC023004)". Lineage: Eukaryota; Viridiplantae; Streptophyta; Magnoliopsida; Poales; Poaceae. The record is from RNAcentral.